AAUCAAUGUUCAAUUUACUUUCAAUGUAUUCAAAUUCUCAAUUGUAAGCUUUCUACAAAAUUGCAAUCAAAUUUUCUUUCGUCCCGACGCGACCGAGAAAAGGCGGAAGGUAGUCUAGCGGAGCAGACUACUGCCGCACGGUGUCCCUUUCUGUGCCAAGAAGAAAGGCACCCCGUGAAAGUUGGUAUCAGAGCCGCGGCUCAAGACCCUCGAUAAGAAAGCUAUGGAUCCAAUUACAUCACACACCACUGAAGUGGUAGAGCCUCCCAAGAAGGGUACUACGAAACAGCGCGUGGAUGCGCUUGAUGAGACAGCUACUAGGUUGUGCUAUGCUGUGGAAGGUCUCGAGGAAAAAGUCGAGAUGGCCGAAUCUGAGAUUCGUGGAUUACACAUCCAAUUGGAUGAAAGCCAAAGAGCUUGCGCAGUAAUGACGGAAGCUGCU
This 442-nucleotide long non-coding RNA is filed under the name Olea europaea subsp. europaea. Lineage: Eukaryota; Viridiplantae; Streptophyta; Magnoliopsida; Lamiales; Oleaceae. The record is from RNAcentral.